GAGAGGUGCUUGCACCUCUUGAGAGCGGCGGACGGGUGAGUAAUGCCUAGGAAUCUGCCUGGUAGUGGGGGAUAACGCUCGGAAACGGACGCUAAUACCGCAUACGUCCUACGGGAGAAAGCAGGGGACCUUCGGGCCUUGCGCUAUCAGAUGAGCCUAGGUCGGAUUAGCUAGUUGGUGAGGUAAUGGCUCACCAAGGCGACGAUCCGUAACUGGUCUGAGAGGAUGAUCAGUCACGCUGGAACUGAGACACGGUCCAGACUCCUACGGGAGGCAGCAGUGGGGAAUAUUGGACAAUGGGCGAAAGCCUGAUCCAGCCAUGCCGCGUGUGUGAAGAAGGUCUUCGGA
Molecule: ribosomal RNA, 348 nt
Filed under: uncultured bacterium
Lineage: Bacteria
Description: bacterial SSU rRNA
Rfam family: Bacterial small subunit ribosomal RNA
Source: RNAcentral